Brassica napus (rape) is the source of this 787-nucleotide long non-coding RNA. RefSeq lists it as uncharacterized. The record is from RefSeq and is a predicted model, not a curated record. Lineage: Eukaryota; Viridiplantae; Streptophyta; Magnoliopsida; Brassicales; Brassicaceae. The transcript has 2 exons.
UUCCCCAUCUCAUCCCGUCUUCUUCGUUUCACCAUCUCGUCGUAUUUUUAUCCUUUCACCACCUCAUCCCAUCUUCUUCUUCACCAUCUCAUCUCCCUUUACAUCUAUCUCUGCUUCGUUUUCUUCUCCCAUUUCGUUUUCAUUUCUUGAUUGGUUUUCCUCAUUUGAUUCAUUUCUUCCCUGCUUUAGUUAAUAGAGUAACACCGUUACCAAAACUUCGGCAACCAAAACCAUAAACCGAAGCAACCGACUCCGAACCGAACCGAAUCAAUGAUUUAUUCGGUUCAAUUCAGAAGCUUUUCCUCAAUCCGAAAUAACCGAAGAACGGUACUAACCAAACCGAAGUAUCCGUAGAAACCAAAGUCGCAAGCCUAGGCACUACCAUAGCUAUGAAGAAGAUUUGUACUAGUGGAUGAUUUAUAACAUUUCUACGGAAGCAUUUGUUAAAGCAUAGCUACUACAUAUACGUAUACCGUACUGAUUUGAACUGAAACAUGCAUUUUAGGAAAUGAGGGAAAUCACAACUUUUUGCCUCUGCUUUUGGGCAACUCCAGCUUGGGUUCUAAAGCCAGUCAUGUUACCACGCUGGAUCUGUCAUAUCUAAUGUCAUUGCCAACAGUUUCCGUCGUGACCAUAGCAUUAUUCCAUCAUUGCUUCGUCUGCAGUUUCAUGAUUGCUUUCUUACGGUUCUUAAGCUUAUCCUUGUGUGGAAAUAAAUAUAUAUGGACUUAGUAAUGUAUAUAGACAUAAAUUACAUUGAUCUAGCAAAGUUUUGAAUGAUUGUGUA